UAAAUAAUAGGUUUUAAAUCCCCUCUUGCAGCAGCUGACCCUACACGUGUUUAUCCAAGUGACUGGAGUUGUGCCAGUCCCUCUGGUAAGUGACCUUUCCCGAAUUUUUCUUUUCAAGUUGACAUUUAAAAAGGGGGGGAAAAGUCAUAGCAACAAACAGUGUUUUAACAGCGAUAAAGCCAUACCCGUCAACAAAGCCAGGAAAGCUGCUCCGGAGCCUGCUCCGGCGGCUCUGCUGUCCCUAAUGGAGCCUGUAUGGACAGCACUGGCUUGUGCUUCCCAACCUGCUUGGUUUUGCAUGAACCAAUGCCCGUGGGCUGGGCUGGGCGCCUCCGCAGCUCCAGGGAAAGGCUUGUGGGGUACAAUUAAGCAUAAGCCAGCUGCUGGCAGCUGGAGGCACUCACGGUAUUAGCUCAUUACUGAAAUUCAAAUGAAGAAGAGUCUUAAAUCUCUGAAAGGAAUCUGGGUUUGGCAGGCAGUGGAGCACUUGGCUGAUAUUGAAAAUGCCUUGGACAAUUUACUGUGUGUUUGGGGGGAGUAAAAUUCACCCCUAGCUUCCAUGUUCCUUGGUUCUCAGCUUCAGCACUGCUGUGACACAACCCCUCACCCCUGGCAAUAGUCUCACAGGGAGAUACUUAAGCAAUGAAGUGCCUGUGCUUUGCAGGAAGUUUACAUCUAAAGCCCAGAUGAGCUCCUCUUCCAGGCUGGGCAUCACUGAAGGGUUCCCCAAAUCCUACUCUCCCCAUGUCCUGGCCAAUGCCAUAGCUCUGCCAUGCCAGCUGCUAGCCACUCCAUCUCCACUGGGCUCUGUGGCAUCUCGUGUGUGUCCCUGCCUUCUCCAUCUGUAAAGCACCCUGCAGCCCUUACCUGUGUUUUUGGUUUACUUGCAGGUGGUGAGCAGGACUGUGAGCAGCAACCAGUCUGGGGUGUUGGAGUCUCCCUGGAAUCCCCCCUCUGGCUCCUCUCCUUGAUGUGCCACUAGGAAUGAUUUCCACCAGGACCACUCCAGGGACGGCAGCAUGGAGUGCCUGCAUGGUCCUGCCUUGACAAGAGGAAUUGAAACAGGGACAUUCCAGCACUGGUGUUUCCUGUAGCUGGAGGCAUAGGAGAUCCAUGGGAAGCACCUGUCAGCAGGGAUCCCCCAGAACUGGGUGCUUCCCAGGCCUUUCUUGCAGAUGGCUCAAUGGGAGAGGCUGCAAAAAGUUGAGGAGCACCUAAGCAGUUCUGCCAUGACAGGCCUGUUCUGCGCUUGGCCUUGCGGUGAUGCCGUUUCUUGCAUUUAAUCUGUUUGUGCAAGAGGAUAAAACAAUAAUGAAAUAAACCCCAGGCUGUGACUUCCCACGAGCUGCUGACCCGCCAUGUGACAGGAGCUGCUGCAGGGCCCUGCACCGAGAUGCUACCCUCAUGAAUCAUGAGGUUCUUUACCUCAAGGUUGCACAAAGAAUUGACUUUGGCAGCAGACAUCAAGGUACAGCAGUCAGCAGAGCUCGCUCACUGCAUUGACAUCUGCUGGAAAGACUUGUUUUUCCCUCCCAAGUCACAUGCUAACUUGUGAUGUGAUCAUGAGAUACAAAGGAUAACCUUCCAAUAUGUACUUUUCUCAUCUGGAUUUUUAAAAGGCAGAGGAAAAGAGCAAAAAGCAAUGUAAGCGAGGGGGGGAAAGCCUCCCUGCCUCUUUUGGUUAGUGUUGCUGUGAUUGCUGCUGGGACAGGGCAGGAGACUGGCUCCAGCGUGAUGGGCUGCAUGGGUGACGGAGAGCAUCGGUGAGAAGAGCAUCAGUGUGGGCAGAGCUAUGUGUGUUCACCCCAUGGGUGUCCCCUUCUUCACCUGUGUGCCCACAGAGGUGAGCAGAGGCUGCCUGUUCCAGGGUAGCCUGUGCUGGCCCAGGCAGAGGGAACUUUUUCUGGCCCUGUGCCAUCCCAUCCCUCAAUGUUAAGCUCUCAUGUUUGAUUAUAAAUGUCAAAGUAACUAUUUUUAAUAACAAUAUCCCAAUGUAAGCAGCUGGGCAGGUGGAAUUAUUUGAUAUGUGUUCUAGUCCAAAGGUUUAUAGUAAGCCCAGCUGCAAGAUUAAGCCAGAAUCACCCUUGAAUAAAA
Long non-coding RNA from Pezoporus occidentalis (night parrot), 2094 nucleotides. RefSeq lists it as uncharacterized. The transcript is spliced from 4 exons. The record is from RefSeq and is a predicted model, not a curated record. NCBI's taxonomy places the organism in Eukaryota, Metazoa, Chordata, Aves, Psittaciformes, Psittacidae.